UGAUUUGGCCUGUUUUACCCUUCCAAUACAAGAGCCAUCUCCAGCCUCUCCCUCCCAAGAUCAAGAAGCUCUCGAUUUCUCUUCCUAUUUCAUCCAUCGGCCUCUUCCUGUUUCACUUUCAGAGCACUGUUUCUCUUCCCGAUUUCUCUUCCCAAUUUCUUGCACCUUUUCAGAGCACUAUUUUGGCCAUCAAAACAGACUUGUGUUCUUCAAAUGCAGUGAGUAGAGAUCAAUCCCAAGUAUCUCCAAAUAAACCCUCAAGAAAAGCUUUCCAAUUCAAUCAAGGUAAAAACUGUCUGCCCUAACAUUCUUUCAACAUGUUUUCCCUUUUAUGUUUUUUUAUGACGAAAGAUUCAACAUUUCUAGAAAUUGAAUCAUGCAUUUACCUUUAACAUGAGGUUUUAGAAAGUUUAAUCAUGUAACUCUGCUGGUGUCGAAUUUCGUACUCAAAGUUUAGACCCAGUUUAGGCUUUUCUUCUCGGUACCGUACCUGCUCGUUGUUCUCAAAUUUUUUUGCUCCCUGAUGCACGUUCCACGUGCAGUUCAAUAUUUAUGUGAGAAUAAUGUUAAUUUGUUUACAGAUUCUGCCCGUCGAAUAAGGCCAAAAUCUGGCAUCUAUGUUGUUCUGCCCAAUUUCCCAGUAACAUAUUUUUCUAACUUUUCUGUUAAACUAAUUGCAUACCUGAACUUAUCAUGGUUUCUCUUUUCACCAUAAAUUUGGGUAUUCUCUGCCUCUGGUAGGGAAGAUUCCUAAAAUUGCUGGAGCAGACCACCUCCAACAUUCAACUUAACUUUUCUCUAUUCACGGACUCACCCAACGAUUGAACAAAGAAAAUAUUCCCUUUUCAUUUUCCCUUUCUACAUGUAUAUAAACUACUCACCGCUAUCCGUGCUUGAAUCAGGAUCAUAACUUUUGAUACCCAAAAAUAAUGUUGCUCUCCAAUCAGACUUCAACACUUAAACUCCACAACAUACAAGAAAAUGUCCUCAAAGUCUGGGCUAAACCAUAUUAUACAAUUGAUUGCCGACAGUGGAGAUAGAAAGCGAUGUACAGUGGGCUCCAAAAGCCCCUCCCAACAAUGCAUUGUUUGGUUAGGGGAAGAGUGUUGUGGAGGAACAUAUGUUAAUAUUUAAUUAAAAAAGGAAGCAUGGCCCAGAUUUUCUUGGUCAAGAAAACCAUGUGAUAUUCUAUUGUAUUGUUGAGUUAUAUAUAAAUUUUGUUGGGCCAACGUGGGUAGAAAAAUGGUGCAGGGUGGAGUCUGGAACUUGGAAUAUGUAGCUCAUCUGGGUUGGUUCAAUCAUUCAACAGAUUUUUACAGCAUAAGGGGAAAAAGUGUUUUUUUUUAGUAAAAAGAGUAAUGAAAACAACAGCUUUGUUGUGUAGUAAUUGAAAAUGGGUGUGGGGAUGUGUGGGUGUCCCCUUGAUGGGUAGUAUAGUUCCAGAUGAGAGACAAGAGUCUUGAUAUUUUAUGGUUCUUUGGCUAUGCAUCCACUUACUGUGUGGACUUAUCAUAUGAUAUAGAUGGUAUAUGCUUGAAAUUUCUUACUUCUAUUAUACAUCCUUAAAUGAUGAUGCUCUUUAAUUACCUUCUGGAUUUGCAUAUUUGGAAUCCAAUGUUUCUCUGUUUUGUUGCUCCUCAUUUUGUUCCGUAGGCUACAAAUGAUGGUGCUCAUUUUGCUCAUCAUUUUGUUUACCUUCUGGAUUUUGUUGCUUAAACUAUGUGAUCAUUUUGUUCCUCAUUCAAUGCUUGAAAUUGUAUUGUUGUUUAUUAAUUGGAAUGAUUUGAGGAGAUGUAAUUUUGUUUUACAUAUUUAGUU
RNAcentral lists this long non-coding RNA (1818 nucleotides) under Gossypium barbadense (sea-island cotton). RNAcentral describes it as "long non-coding RNA (GBAR_LNC016490)". The record is from RNAcentral. Lineage: Eukaryota; Viridiplantae; Streptophyta; Magnoliopsida; Malvales; Malvaceae.